GAAUUUUAUAUAAAUUUAUUUAAAUAUUUAAUAUAUAAAUUAUAUAUUAGUAUAAUCUGUAUUUUAUUUAGAAUAAAAAAAUUAUAUUUAAUUGGGAGGAUUAUUAAAUUAAAUAAACUUUAAAUUAAAGUUAUUACAUAAAUAAAUGAAAUAAAAAAUUAUUAUUAUAAGAGUGAUUAAUAAAUUAAUAAAGAAAUAAUUACCUUAGGGAUAACAGCGUAAUAUUUUUGGAUAGAUCAUAUAAAUAAAAAUGAU
Molecule: ribosomal RNA, 255 nt
Filed under: Cyphomyrmex rimosus
Lineage: Eukaryota; Metazoa; Arthropoda; Insecta; Hymenoptera; Formicidae
Description: partial large subunit ribosomal RNA
Source: RNAcentral